AGCGUACACGGUGGAUGCCCUGGCAGUCAGAGGCGAUGAAGGACGUGCUAAUCUGCGAUAAGCGUCGGUAAGGUGAUAUGAACCGUUAUAACCGGCGAUUUCCGAAUGGGGAAACCCAGUGUGUUUCGACACACUAUCAUUAACUGAAUCCAUAGGUUAAUGAGGCGAACCGGGGGAACUGAAACAUCUAAGUACCCCGAGGAAAAGAAAUCAACCGAGAUUCCCCCAGUAGCGGCGAGCGAACGGGGAGCAGCCCAGAGCCUGAAUCAGUGUGUGUGUUAGUGGAAGCGUCUGGAAAGGCGCGCGAUACAGGGUGACAGCCCCGUACACAAAAAUGCACAUGCUGUGAGCUCGAUGAGUAGGGCGGGACACGUGGUAUCCUGUCUGAAUAUGGGGGGACCAUCCUCCAAGGCUAAAUACUCCUGACUGACCGAUAGUGAACCAGUACCGUGAGGGAAAGGCGAAAAGAACCCCGGCGAGGGGAGUGAAAAAGAACCUGAAACCGUGUACGUACAAGCAGUGGGAGCACGCUUAGGCGUGUGACUGCGUACCUUUUGUAUAAUGGGUCAGCGACUUAUAUUCUGUAGCAAGGUUAACCGAAUAGGGGAGCCGAAGGGAAACCGAGUCUUAACUGGGCGUUAAGUUGCAGGGUAUAGACCCGAAACCCGGUGAUCUAGCCAUGGGCAGGUUGAAGGUUGGGUAACACUAACUGGAGGACCGAACCGACUAAUGUUGAAAAAUUAGCGGAUGACUUGUGGCUGGGGGUGAAAGGCCAAUCAAACCGGGAGAUAGCUGGUUCUCCCCGAAAGCUAUUUAGGUAGCGCCUCGUGAAUUCAUCUCCGGGGGUAGAGCACUGUUUCGGCAAGGGGGUCAUCCCGACUUACCAACCCGAUGCAAACUGCGAAUACCGGAGAAUGUUAUCACGGGAGACACACGGCGGGUGCUAACGUCCGUCGUGAAGAGGGAAACAACCCAGACCGCCAGCUAAGGUCCCAAAGUCAUGGUUAAGUGGGAAACGAUGUGGGAAGGCCCAGACAGCCAGGAUGUUGGCUUAGAAGCAGCCAUCAUUUAAAGAAAGCGUAAUAGCUCACUGGUCGAGUCGGCCUGCGCGGAAGAUGUAACGGGGCUAAACCAUGCACCGAAGCUGCGGCAGCGACGCUUAUGCGUUGUUGGGUAGGGGAGCGUUCUGUAAGCCUGCGAAGGUGUGCUGUGAGGCAUGCUGGAGGUAUCAGAAGUGCGAAUGCUGACAUAAGUAACGAUAAAGCGGGUGAAAAGCCCGCUCGCCGGAAGACCAAGGGUUCCUGUCCAACGUUAAUCGGGGCAGGGUGAGUCGACCCCUAAGGCGAGGCCGAAAGGCGUAGUCGAUGGGAAACAGGUUAAUAUUCCUGUACUUGGUGUUACUGCGAAGGGGGGACGGAGAAGGCUAUGUUGGCCGGGCGACGGUUGUCCCGGUUUAAGCGUGUAGGCUGGUUUUCCAGGCAAAUCCGGAAAAUCAAGGCUGAGGCGUGAUGACGAGGUACUACGGUGCUGAAGCAACAAAUGCCCUGCUUCCAGGAAAAGCCUCUAAGCAUCAGGUAACAUCAAAUCGUACCCCAAACCGACACAGGUGGUCAGGUAGAGAAUACCAAGGCGCUUGAGAGAACUCGGGUGAAGGAACUAGGCAAAAUGGUGCCGUAACUUCGGGAGAAGGCACGCUGAUAUGUAGGUGAAGUCCCUCGCGGAUGGAGCUGAAAUCAGUCGAAGAUACCAGCUGGCUGCAACUGUUUAUUAAAAACACAGCACUGUGCAAACACGAAAGUGGACGUAUACGGUGUGACGCCUGCCCGGUGCCGGAAGGUUAAUUGAUGGGGUCAGCGCAAGCGAAGCUCUUGAUCGAAGCCCCGGUAAACGGCGGCCGUAACUAUAACGGUCCUAAGGUAGCGAAAUUCCUUGUCGGGUAAGUUCCGACCUGCACGAAUGGCGUAAUGAUGGCCAGGCUGUCUCCACCCGAGACUCAGUGAAAUUGAACUCGCUGUGAAGAUGCAGUGUACCCGCGGCAAGACGGAAAGACCCCGUGAACCUUUACUAUAGCUUGACACUGAACAUUGAGCCUUGAUGUGUAGGAUAGGUGGGAGGCUUUGAAGUGUGGACGCCAGUCUGCAUGGAGCCGACCUUGAAAUACCACCCUUUAAUGUUUGAUGUUCUAACGUUGACCCGUAAUCCGGGUUGCGGACAGUGUCUGGUGGGUAGUUUGACUGGGGCGGUCUCCUCCUAAAGAGUAACGGAGGAGCACGAAGGUUGGCUAAUCCUGGUCGGACAUCAGGAGGUUAGUGCAAUGGCAUAAGCCAGCUUGACUGCGAGCGUGACGGCGCGAGCAGGUGCGAAAGCAGGUCAUAGUGAUCCGGUGGUUCUGAAUGGAAGGGCCAUCGCUCAACGGAUAAAAGGUACUCCGGGGAUAACAGGCUGAUACCGCCCAAGAGUUCAUAUCGACGGCGGUGUUUGGCACCUCGAUGUCGGCUCAUCACAUCCUGGGGCUGAAGUAGGUCCCAAGGGUAUGGCUGUUCGCCAUUUAAAGUGGUACGCGAGCUGGGUUUAGAACGUCGUGAGACAGUUCGGUCCCUAUCUGCCGUGGGCGCUGGAGAACUGAGGGGGGCUGCUCCUAGUACGAGAGGACCGGAGUGGACGCAUCACUGGUGUUCGGGUUGUCAUGCCAAUGGCACUGCCCGGUAGCUAAAUGCGGAAGAGAUAAGUGCUGAAAGCAUCUAAGCACGAAACUUGCCCCGAGAUGAGUUCU
Molecule: ribosomal RNA, 2773 nt
Filed under: Escherichia coli
Lineage: Bacteria; Pseudomonadati; Pseudomonadota; Gammaproteobacteria; Enterobacterales; Enterobacteriaceae
Description: bacterial LSU rRNA
Rfam family: Bacterial large subunit ribosomal RNA
Source: RNAcentral